CUAUCAGUCAUGAAGUGCGCUACAGCAGCACGUGACACAUGAUGAAAUUGCAGUUUCUUUUCUUUCAAAACAGAUGAAAAAUUGAAGUUCCUGGGUGAGUAUCAUCUGCAAGUUUUAGAUUCAAAUCCACCGAUGUCUAUUAAAGUUGAUCUAUCCGCCGAUGUCAAGGAUCCCAUAAGGUAAGUUAUUCUAGUCAGUUUAUACAUUUAGCUAUUUGCAAUUCACCUGCAAAUGUAUCAGUUUACUUGUGUUCUAACAUGACUUUGCCUGCAGCGUUUGCAUUCUGCGCAUGUUGUUUCUGUAUAGAUGCAUAUAACAUAAAGGUAUAUUACUACAGCUUAUUGUAUUAUUGCAACUUAUUGUAUUAUUACAGCUUAUUGUAUUAUUACAGCUCAUUUUAUUAUUACAGCGCAUCAAGGUAAAAUUCAAGUAAAAUAACACUGAUGCAGAAACUUGAAGUUCUAAUCUGCUAAAUACUGGCGUUGUAAGUGACUUUUAUAAACAAGGUUUAAAGAAAAAUUAUAUUAAAUGAAAUCAUGCAUUAACAGAGUGUCAGGAUAAACGAAUGCCCAACACGUAGAACUUAAGUAAAAAAUAAAGAAAACCCUAAGACGUAUUACCGGCCUUAGACUGGCCAGAUUUUAACGUAUAAAAAGAUAAACCACAAGAACAAAGAAAUCACGGAAACUAUAAAUAAGCCAAAAGUUGAGGGAUCUAGAGGUCAGAAUAGUCAGGAGCCAAGCUAAAGGUCAAGGGAUAUAGAGAUCGGAUAGUCAAUACGAAAGCCAAGGUCAAAAUACACAUGAAUCAAUACCAGAAGCGUGCUCUCGGAUAGCCAGAAUGAAAACCACGACAGAGAAAUGGACAAAAAAGGAUUAUAUAGCCUAAGGUGCUCCCUGAUUGGCUGCAGUGAAGCAUGUGAUAGUGAAUGUGUGUGUGUGUCAUCACCCACACGUUCCAAAUGGUAUGGCACUAUAAGGGUUAAUAACCAAACCCUUACCCUUAAAAGGAUCUAACUUGCAGCGGCCGUUGUCUCUAAUGAUUACAGACCCGGCCGCUGUGUGAGGGGGAGAAGUUCCUGUCAGAGGCAUCUCAGGAGGAGGUGAGUGAUAGGCAGCAUUCCCAUUACCACGUAGGAAUGCCGCCACAACGAGAUGCACCCGUCGGAUCCCAUUCCGCUCCCGGGUAUGAGUGGACCCGGCAGGUGCCUGCAGAUCUGAUAAGUAUUCGCCGGCUUGAUGUGAGGGAAUGCCGCCGCAACGAUGCGCACCUGCUGGGACCAAUAUUGCUCUCUGGCAGGAGUUGACCUGCCGGGCGGCGUGACACAGAGCUGCUUCGGUUCUUCUAAUAAGUAUGGAUUUGGGACUCCGUUUAUCUCCCUCUAAAACCAUAUGGAACUUAAAAUUCCUUUCUCUACAACCCGUGAAGUUUAUAUUAUAAUUGUACUGAUGCCUCUGCUUCUUCUUCCUUUCCAUGGCUGAUGGAUUUUGAGUUAGAAAAAAAAUAAAAAAGGUCGCUGAGGUCUCCUCUAUCCACUUUUAAAGGGAAACUCCAGUGCCAGGAAAACAAUCCGUUUUAAUGGCACUGCAGGUCCCCUCUCACCCCCCAAUCCCUGGUUGCUGAAGGGGUGAAAACCCCUUCAGUAACUUACCUUAGGCAGCGACAAUGUCCCACAUCACUGCUUCUCCCUCCGCCGCCGCUCCUCCUAGUGAUUGCGUCAGCCGGUGGACAUUAGAGCUCCCCCUAGGAAAGCAUUGAAAAUGCUUUUCAAUGCUUUCCUAUGGGGAAAUGAGCGACGCUGGAGGUCCUCACACAGCGUGAGGACGUCCAGCGAUGCUCUAGCACAGGUUUGAUCCAGCAAGUGCUAUGAUCCAGGAAGUGCCCUCUAGUGGCUGUCUAGUAGACAGCCAUUAGAGGUGGAGUUAACCCUGCAAGGUAAUUAUUGCAGUUUAUAAAAACCUGCAAUAAUUACACUUGCAGGGUUAAGGGUAGUGGGAGUUGGCACCCAGACCACUCCAAUGGGCAGAAGUGGUCUGGGUGCCUGGAGUGUCCCUUUAAUCAUAUCUUGUACAACACAAGGAAUGAAUACACCAACAUUAGUGGUUUUGUCGCACCAUAAUGUUAGAGUGAGCUGAGCCCACCAACUGAUUAUUAUUAUAUUUAUAUAGCGCCAACAAAUUCUGUAGCGCUUUACAAUGGGUGGACUAACAAACAUGUAAUUGUAACCAGAGAAGUUUAACGCACAGAAACAGAGGGGUUGAGGUCCCUGCUCAAUGAACUUACAUGCUAGAAGGAGUGGGGUAAAGUGACACAAAAUGUAAUCUAUAGUAUCUAUAGUGUCCUCAUAGAGGUGGGCUCUAACUUAAUUUUAUCCAUGAUCGAUAAUUAAUAUUAUGCUAAUCCACAUUGCUUAACAAGAUCAGAUGCCUACUGUGUACUUUUCCCCAUGACACUCUGGGACACACAACCCCAAAAUGUUUUGUUUAAUGGUAAUGUCUUCAUUGUUUAAAGGGACACUCCAGGCUUUCACACGUACAAGUCCAUAAUCCAUCUAUUUUUAAAAAUUAAUCUCAAGUUUUGUGCCAUGAGCUCUCCCUCUGUUUCAACCUUCCAGUUUUUAAAUUUUUCUCCAAAAAUACUGUUGACCUUGAUGUUGCGACUCAGGGUUCUCAGAGCGGUAGUGUGGAUAAUUGUUUGUUGUUUUUUUUUUACAGGUGAAAGCUUUUAAUUAAACUACAACCUCCAUGAACCUUUCUGUUCUCAUAAAGCACUGCUUACAGUAUAAGCUCUGUGAAUGGUAAGUGGGCAUUUUGAAGUAGUUGAUGUGGCUGUAAAGUAUAUGAUUCAACUGUAUGUGGGCAUUAUGCUUAAAUGCAGACACUGAUUAUUGCCAUUUUUAGUAAGCCAUACUGCUGGCAAUGCCUUCAAGAGUCUUUCAAAUACCUAUAAACAAGGUAUUUGACCAUUUUUAUUUAUCUAUUUGUGACACCUACUGAAUGCAAGAAAAAUAGCAUUUUUGCUUUUAUACUAACAAUUUACCCUGUGUGAAAUAUUGUAAGAUAAAGGACAUUGUAUACUGUCUAUAUCUGUUCAUUUCCCAAAUAUUUUUUUUAUAAAUGCUGAACGAAUAAGUAAAAAUUAAAAAUGUUUGUAAAUUCACAAAAUCAUAAUUUAAAUGUAUACAUUUGUUUGUAGAGCAUUAUAUACACAAUUGCUGUGGUCUGAUAUGUUUAAAUACUAGCAAUGUAUCUCUUGCUUCAAAUACACCAUACUAAAAUGCUUAUAAUCAAAAAGCAUUGAAGGUAAAGCAAUAUUUAAUUAAUACACAACUCUGUUUAUAUUUUGAGAAUAUUCAGUGCCUGAUUUGUAGGCAUAUUUUAAUUCCCAGUGAUGACUCAGGUACAAUUGGUAAAACAUGUUGGGGAAUCAAUCACGGCAAAUUAUGAAGAAUAAUACCAUCAACUCACGGGGUUAUUGUCUGCCAAUGACACAGAAAGGGACAUUACAUAUUUCUGUACAUUCCGAGUGGAGUGUUUUUCCAUUUUCCUCUUGUUAUACCUGGUUAUUCAUUAAUAUAUGAUUUGUUAGGAAUUUAAAGUUCAUUUAGAAAUUUAGGCCACAGUUAUAAUACGCCUAUUUAUUAUUAUUACUUGGAAAAUAUUAGAUUUCAUCUUAUACAUAAGAAAAAAAAAGGUAAAAGGAAAUCAAAUUCUGUCUAUUUCGAACUUGUUAACCUUCCUGUAUUUUUCAGUUUGUCUGUCAGGUGAGCUGUCUUCUCACACUCACUGAUUUUUGUUUCCAUUUUGAUUUAUUAUCAUUUACCUUUCUUCUUUGUAAACUCAACAAGCCUGUUUCAGUAACAAUAUCAGCAUUACUGGCAUUCCCCCCAAACUCAGUCUCAUCACGUUACUUCUGCUGCAUUCAAGCUAUAUAUUAAACACUGUGACAACUAAUUAGGUUUGAACAUUUUUGGGGAAGAUGAGAGGCAGAGGCACGCUUUCUGGAAUUCACGGAAAAGAUGAGUGGAUUAUUCUGAAUUGAACAAAGUCAGUGGGAUAAACUAAGGAAAGGGUCAAGAACAUGAAGUCAGUCCUUAAAGGACCACUAUAGGCACCCAGACCACAUCAGCUCAAUGAAGUGGUCUGGGUGCCAGGUCCAUCUAGGGUUAACCCUGCAGCUGUAAACAUAGCAGUUUCAGAGAGAUAUGUUUACAUAUGGGUUAAUCCAGUCUCUAGUGGCUGUCUCAUUGACAGCCGCUAGAGGCACUUCCACGCUUCUCACUGUGAUUUUCACAGUGAGAAGAAGCCAGAGUCCAUAGGAAAGCAUUGAGAAUGCUUUCCUAUGGACUGACUGAAUGCGCGCACGACUCUUGACGCGCAUGCGCAUUCAUCGGAAGAGGGAGGAGAGUCCCCAGCGCCGAGGUAGCCCGGUGCUGGAGAAAGGUAAUUGAAUAACCUCUUCCUCCCCCUGGAGCCUGGCGGGAGGGGGGCCAUGAUGGUGGGGGGAUCUAUUAACACUAUAGUGCCAGGAAAACAAGUUUGUUUUCCUGGCACUAUAGUGGUCCUUUAACCCACAAAAUGUGCCUCAGUCACCUCAAAUAUGAGAAAAAACAUAUGUUAAACUACUUAGACAUGCCCCAAAACACAGACUGAUCCAUCCAUCCCAAUGUUAUUUGACCAUGAGCAAGCAUACAUAAAAGGGACACUAUAGACACCAAAACAACUUUAGCUUAAUGAAGCAGUUUUGGUAUACAGAUCAUGUCCCUGCAAUCUCACAGCUCAAUUCUCUGCUAUGUAGGAGUUAAAUCACUUUUGUUUCUGUUUAUACAGCUCUCACCACACGUCUCCCGGCUGUGACUCACACAGUCUGAAUGAAAAAAAACGGUGUAAUUUAAUCAGAUCACUGGCAUUAUAGUGUAUUUACUCCAGACGUUAUUUUAACUCCUGCUCUGUUAAUAGAACUUUAAUGACACACAGGAGGCUCCAGCAGGCUCUAGCAGGUCUUGAGUGAUUGAACUCUUCCUCGGGCUCCCUUCUGUCAGCUGGUGACAGAAUUGGUGGCCACAGACUGACCAAUGGUCUGAUUGUUGAGCUCAAAGUGAGCAUGUCAAGGUUUUGUGUAUGGAACCCAAAAAUGCAGAACUUGCACUAGCAAAAUAAUAAACAAAAGUCCAAACAAACAAAUUAAAUAGGGCAAGGCAAAGGCAGAGUCAGGCAAUCCCAGGUUCAAAGUCCAGGCAGCAAAGGUUCAGUAAGGGUGAGGCAAUCCAAGGUCAGGGAACAGAUAGUUGGAAAACAGGUAACACAGGUAACAGUAGGAUAUAGCACAGAACAACUGAGCAACAAAGACUCAGGUGUUCCAGGUUUAAAAAGGCAGCCAGAUUGAAAGCCCACCUACUUUGACAAGCUUUCAUAACACGCUAUUGGUGUAUGGGGCUGUCUAACAUCUGGGGAUGAAAUGAGGAAGUGAUUACCUAUUAAUUUGUUCCAGCCUUGCUGUUCUGCGGUGUGGAACGAUCGUGCAUGCCUCCCAGCUUCAAUGGUUGCCUGGUAGACAUGACUAGAUCGGAGUUCAUAGGUCGGGGCCCACCCCAUGCCAUCGCGCAUGCGUGCGUUAGGGCGGCCUCAAUCUGGAGAUGCCGCCAGAGCAGCAAGGGAACGAAGGUAAGUCCUGACAGAGUGUUGCAAACAGGUAUUUAAAUGGGGAUUUAAGUCCCCAUUAUUACAAAUCCAUUUGAGCAUGGUUAAUAACCUUCUCACACCAGGGAAUCACCGGUAUUAAUGGAGACUUGGGGCUCUUCUCUUUCACCUGGAGCCAAUUUUAGUGGCCCCAGACUGGCAGGUGAGCUGCAUGCAGAGCUCAGAGCAAAAUUGGCAUACAGCUCUUAUAGUGAGGAUUUAAAUCCCCAAAGACAGCGAUGUAGUGUGAGCAGGGUUAGACUCCUCUCUGUCAACUGGGGCCACCUUAGAGGAUCCAGUUGACUGAUAGUCAACACUGCAGCUGAACGAUCACGCUUAGCUACAGUGACUCUCUCACUGGAUAUGGUGAUUGGGAAACGGCAAGGGGGUUAAGCUUAAGUUGUUUUCGUGCUUAUAGUGUUCCUUUAAAUGUUACAUUAAUUCAGUGCCUAUAGAAACUUAGAAACCGGAUAUAAAUAAAGUUUGUGCUUUCGAUAAAUUGUAAUUGAAGUAUGUAUUAUAGGAAAUAAUAUCUUCAGAGUCUUUAUUUUCCCUGGAUAACAAUUUCAACAUUCUUUAUCUUUUAUAUUACACAGUCCCUGUACUGUACGGUGGUCGUCAAUCGUUUUGUGCAACAUGUGAGUCUAAAACUUGAUGCGCCCAUAGAAUUAAUGGAACUAAAUCAUAUUUUAAAACACAAUUUACAGAAAGAUAAAUGUAACUGACCAUAUAACAACACAUUUCUCCUUAACAGAGAGCAGAUCCCUGGCCGAGAAACUCCAACCAUUGAUAAUAGCGUAGAGUUGAAAAGGAUGGUCGUCUCAUUGGUCAGACUGUCCUCCGGAGCUGUUCAGUUAUCCACAGAUCGAUGCUGCAGCUGGCUGCAAAGUUAAACGUGACUUAACUCUCUUAAAGUAGAGGUUCUUGAAAAAAAAAAAGAGAAGUAUUUUGUUACCCAAACUGUGGUCAUCAUUGUAAAAAUAAAACUUCCUUAAAGGACAACUGUCCUCAAAUUUUUAAA
This 6699-nucleotide long non-coding RNA is filed under the name Pelobates cultripes (western spadefoot toad). Lineage: Eukaryota; Metazoa; Chordata; Amphibia; Anura; Pelobatidae. The record is from RNAcentral.